GACGAACGCUGGCGGCGUGCCUAAAACAUGCAAGUGGAGCGCGAAGGGUGGGACCUGUUACCAAUGGGUGGGGCGGGGAACGGGGGGGUAAGGGGUGGGAAACCUCCUUUUGAGGGGGGGACAACAUUGGAAAAGAAAGCCAAUUACGGCAUAAAACUUUCAACCAAAGGUUUAAGGUUGAAAAAAGCCAUUGCAUCAAUCAAAGAUGCACCCGCGUUUUAUUUGCUAGUUGGGGAGGUAAAGGGCCACCAAGGCGAUGAUACCUAGCCGACCUGAGAGGGUGAUCGGCCACAUUGGGACUGAGACACGGCCCAAACUCCUACGGGAGGCAGCAGUAGGGGAUCUUCGGCAAUGGACGCAAGUCUGACCGAGCAACGCCGCGUGAGUGAAGAAGGUUUUCGGAUCGUAAAACUCUGUUGGUAGAGAAGAACGUUGGUGAGAGUGGAAAGCUCAUCAAGUGACGGUAACUACCCAGAAAGGGACGGCUAACUACGUG
RNAcentral lists this ribosomal RNA (496 nucleotides) under uncultured bacterium. RNAcentral describes it as "partial 16S ribosomal RNA". It matches the Rfam family "Bacterial small subunit ribosomal RNA", at positions 28 to 507 of the family's 1533-position model. The record is from RNAcentral.